AGGGUGAUCUGGCUAAGACAUCUGUCACUCACUGAUGGCCAGGAUUUACUUGGCUUGCAAGGCUGUCCCCUUGCUCCCU
Cavia aperea (Brazilian guinea pig) is the source of this 79-nucleotide unclassified non-coding RNA. Its record names the gene 7SK. It matches the Rfam family "7SK RNA". Rfam says of the family: 7SK was discovered as an abundant small nuclear RNA in the mid-70s but a possible function has only recently been suggested. Two independent studies have found that 7SK RNA binds the CDK9/cyclin T complex (known as elongation factor P-TEFb). The record is from Ensembl. Lineage: Eukaryota; Metazoa; Chordata; Mammalia; Rodentia; Caviidae.